AGGACGAACGCUGGCGGCGUGCUUAACACAUGCAAGUCGAACGAGGUGCUUGCACCUAGUGGCGAACGGGUGAGUAACACGUGAGCAACCUGCCCUUGGCUCUGGGAUAGCCUCCGGAAACGGGGAUUAAUACCGGACAUGACCUUCUCCUGCAUGGGGGAGGGUGGAAAGUUUUUCGGCCAGGGAGGGCUCGCGGCCUAUCAGCUUGUUGGAGGGGUAACGGCCUACCAAGGCGACGACGGGUA
This 245-nucleotide ribosomal RNA is filed under the name uncultured bacterium. RNAcentral's name for it is "partial small subunit ribosomal RNA". It matches the Rfam family "Bacterial small subunit ribosomal RNA", at positions 26 to 285 of the family's 1533-position model. The record is from RNAcentral.